RNAcentral lists this small RNA (483 nucleotides) under Penicillium sp. 1224a FbB. RNAcentral describes it as "eukaryotic LSU rRNA". The stretch from base 165 to 318 matches the Rfam family "5.8S ribosomal RNA". Lineage: Eukaryota; Fungi; Ascomycota; Eurotiomycetes; Eurotiales; Aspergillaceae. The record is from RNAcentral.
GGAGGCCUCUGGGUCACCUCCCACCCGUGUUUAUUUACCUUGUUGCUUCGGCGAGCCUGCCUUUUGGCUGCCGGGGGACGUCAGUCCCCGGGUCCGUGCUCGCCGGAGACACCUUAGAACUCUGUCUGAAGAUUGUAGUCUGAGAUUAAAUAUAAAUUAUUUAAAACUUUCAACAACGGAUCUCUUGGUUCCGGCAUCGAUGAAGAACGCAGCGAAAUGCGAUACGUAAUGUGAAUUGCAGAAUUCAGUGAAUCAUCGAGUCUUUGAACGCACAUUGCGCCCUCUGGUAUUCCGGAGGGCAUGCCUGUCCGAGCGUCAUUGCUGCCCUCAAGCACGGCUUGUGUGUUGGGCCCCGUCCUCCUUCCGGGGGACGGGUCCGAAAGGCAGCGGCGGCACCGCGUCCGGUCCUCAAGCGUAUGGGGCUUUGUCACUCGCUUUGUAGGCCUGGCCGGCGCUUGCCGAUCAACCAAACUUUUUAUCAGG